This is a long non-coding RNA of Triticum aestivum (bread wheat), 2077 nucleotides long. RefSeq lists it as uncharacterized. The record is from RefSeq and is a predicted model, not a curated record. Lineage: Eukaryota; Viridiplantae; Streptophyta; Magnoliopsida; Poales; Poaceae. The transcript is spliced from 5 exons.
AAUCUCCAUCUCCAGAACCAGACCUCUCUCCCAAUCAACUACCUGGCGCCCCUCCCUGGCUCCCUCCCGUGAGUCCGCGACCACCCAACGACGGCCCACCUCUCCCGCAGCAACCACAGCACCGGCCACCCACCCAUCUCCUCCUCCUCUCACUCGCGCCGUAGCACCAUGCGCCGCACCUGCCGCGGCAAAGGAGGGCCAGCCGCCGCCACCCCAGAACGUUGUGUAUGAGCAGGCACGGCACCGCCGCCGCCUCCCUAGGUCGCGACCUGUAGCGGUUCGGCUACUCCGGCACAGCCAUCGCGCGAGCCAAGCGAGGAGGACGCUUUGAAUCUGGGACCUGCAGUAUUGAAUAGAGGAAAGUUACAUCUACAGUUGGUCCGCGAGCAUGGCGAGCCGACAACGACGAUGAAAUAAUGCAUUGGCCCAUUGCCUGAUGAAGAAGAUGAGAGAAGUGAAGAUUAUGUACGCUGAAAUAUUACAGAUCAUCGAUGCACAGGGUAACCAUCCUGCCACCACCAGGGAGCUCUUGGUUGCACUGCAAUCAGCGAGGCCUUGUCAACUCGCUGAUGCCACUUAACCUCUAUGGCCUCUCAUUGCUCAAGAUGGAUAGUUUUGUGCAGGUUUGGCCUCAACCACUUCUUCCUGUCCUACUGCUACAUGGACCAUGACACUCAGUUCUAGCAAAACUAUUGUAAAGUUGCAGGCCAGACCUGUGAAAUCCGAGGCUUGUCACAGGAUGGUGUUCAUGGUCUAUAAGCUUUUGAGAUGUUGUCUUGGCUCCUCCUUUACAAACAACAUUUAUGAUGAUAUGCCUCUAAGGGUUGUAGUUAAGAGUUGAUGUUCCAUGCUAUUCUUUGUUCCUUGUGCUGGUAAUUGAGAGGAGGGAGAGGGAGAGAGAGAUGGAGGGACAUCAAAGAGGAGUGUGGUAACCACAUAGGAAGACACGGUUGUGUUGCAGCCAGUAGAGACGUGGUUUGUGUGCAAGUCGAUGCAAACCUGCUGUUGUGAUGGUUGGGGAGCCGAGGUAGCAGCAAGCAGUGCCUUUACGCUGGAUCAUGCAGUCUGGUUGUGGGUGGCCAGAGCCCAUGGACCUGUCUUCCCCACCGGGUGUUUACUUUCCUUCAGUGAAUUGAAAGCAAGAAAAGAAAAACAUGAGGAAUGUUUGUUUGUCCAUGUUGCGCGAUCCUAAUCAUGUUACUUUGUGAAAAAAACAAAACACCAUGUCACUGUAAUGCUUUAAAUAUUUUAUCUUUUAGUUGUUUAUUUUAGAACAAACCUUACUUCAGCAGGGUGUUUGAAGGUGAGACAUCCUUGAUGAUCGCCGUUUUCUUUAGAUCAUUAUCAUCCUAUUUUAAGUGAAUACAUCAGAGUUGUGUUUAACUAUGCUACAUUUUUUCUUUAUGUGACCUAUAUUUUGUUCUGCUUGAAUUUCUAUCAAGGGACGGAGUUUGGUUUCAUGCAUCUUGCAACAAAGCUUCCCAGUUGGGCGUCCCGCUUCACAUUUUGCAAAGGUGCUUCCAUGGUUUCUCCAGUCCCUCAAGCGCAGCAUAACCUGCUUGCAUGAGUUUUUCCCUGCUGCUCGCGCUGCCCCUAUGUACAACAACACUGUUCUGAUGAUCUCUCCUGCUGACACUGAUCUCCCAUCUCCUCAUCUUAUGCGCCAUCUCUGUGUUGGUUGAUCAGUGGCACUAGACGUUGAUGCUCACGCCGUUGUCAGAAAUGCACUGAGCUACUCAACCUAGUCUAUUAAUGAGUGGAAAAGCCAAGUUAGUGCAUGUUCAAGUUCUCCACUUGCAUUAAUAAGUGGGUGGCAGUUCAAGGUUUCAAUUUCUAUCACACUUUGUGACACUUCCUUCGGAUUUCCUUUGAUGAAUUACCUUUUCACUCUGAGGUGUGACUGGUCACUCACUGUCAGGACCGACAAAGUGCAUACUGAAGAUGACGAGGGGAUGGGCUAGACCAAUGUGUUUUAGACGUCAGAAUCAGAAUCGUGUGGGAGUUGUACAUGUGCUUGCGCGUGUGUGUGAGACCAAUGUGUUUUGGACGUCAGAAUCAUAAUCGUGUGGGAGUUGUA